CCUACGGGUGGCAGCAGUGGGGAAUAUUGGACAAUGGGGGCAACCCUGAUCCAGCCAUGCCGCGUGUGUGAAGAAGGCCCUCGGGUUGUAAAGCACUUUCAGUGAGGAAGAACGCCUGGUGGUUAAUACCCAUCAGGAAAGACAUCACUCACAGAAGAAGCACCGGCUAACUCCGUGCCAGCAGCCGCGGUAAUACGGAGGGGGCGAGCGUUAAUCGGAAUUACUGGGCGUAAAGCGCGCGUAGGUGGCUUGAUAAGCCGGUUGUGAAAGCCCCGGGCUCAACCUGGGAACGGCAUCCGGAACUGUCAAGCUAGAGUGCAGGAGAGGAAGGUAGAAUUCCCGGUGUAGCGGUGAAAUGCGUAGAGAUCGGGAGGAAUACCAGUGGCGAAGGCGGCCUUCUGGACUGACACUGACACUGAGGUGCGAAAGCGUGGGUAGCAAACAGGAUUAGAUACCCUAGUAGUC
Molecule: ribosomal RNA, 465 nt
Filed under: Vreelandella stevensii
Lineage: Bacteria; Pseudomonadati; Pseudomonadota; Gammaproteobacteria; Oceanospirillales; Halomonadaceae
Description: partial 16S ribosomal RNA
Rfam family: Bacterial small subunit ribosomal RNA
Source: RNAcentral